UCAUUUGUAGUGUAAAAAUCACUUUAGUUUUUCGUGCUAAAAAUACGUAAAAACGUCGGAUGAG
RNAcentral lists this transfer RNA (64 nucleotides) under Kulikovia alborostrata. Its description in RNAcentral is "tRNA-Glu". Lineage: Eukaryota; Metazoa; Nemertea; Pilidiophora; Heteronemertea; Lineidae. The record is from RNAcentral.